Molecule: microRNA precursor, 64 nt
Filed under: Agrilus planipennis (emerald ash borer)
Lineage: Eukaryota; Metazoa; Arthropoda; Insecta; Coleoptera; Buprestidae
Description: mir-14 microRNA precursor family
Rfam family: mir-14 microRNA precursor family
Source: Rfam by way of RNAcentral
AACAGGGGAGAGGAAUUAGGCUUACUUUAUUUAAAAACAAGUCAGUCUUUUUCUCUCUCCUAUU